UACCUGCGGAGGGAUCAUUACCGAGUUUACAACUCCCAAACCCCUGUGAACAUACCUAUACGUUGCCUCGGCGGAUCAGCCCGCGCCCCGUAAAAAGGGACGGCCCGCCCGAGGACCCCUAAACUCUGUUUUUAGUGGAACUUCUGAGUAAAACAAACAAAUAAAUCAAAACUUUCAACAACGGAUCUCUUGGUUCUGGCAUCGAUGAAGAACGCAGCAAAAUGCGAUAAGUAAUGUGAAUUGCAGAAUUCAGUGAAUCAUCGAAUCUUUGAACGCACAUUGCGCCCGCCAGUAUUCUGGCGGGCAUGCCUGUUCGAGCGUCAUUUCAACCCUCAAGCUCAGCUUGGUGUUGGGACUCGCGGUAACCCGCGUUCCCCAAAUCGAUUGGCGGUCACGUCGAGCUUCCAUAGCGUAGUAAUCAUACACCUCGUUACUGGUAAUCGUCGCGGCCACGCCGUAAAACCCCAACUUCUGAAUGUGACCUCGAUCAGGUAGAAUCCCCGGUUUCU
This 509-nucleotide ribosomal RNA is filed under the name fungal sp. RNAcentral's name for it is "eukaryotic LSU rRNA". The stretch from base 170 to 323 matches the Rfam family "5.8S ribosomal RNA". The record is from RNAcentral. Lineage: Eukaryota; Fungi.